Molecule: ribosomal RNA, 330 nt
Filed under: uncultured eukaryote
Lineage: Eukaryota
Description: partial 18S ribosomal RNA
Rfam family: Eukaryotic small subunit ribosomal RNA
Source: RNAcentral
CCCUUAGAUGUUCUGGGCCGCACGCGCGCUACACUGACGCAUUCAACGAGUCUAAAACCUGGUCUGAUAGGGCUGGGUAAUCUUUUGAAAGUGCAUCGUGAUUGGGAUAGAUGAUUGCAAUUCUUCAUCUUCAACGAGGAAUGCCUAGUAAACGCAAGUCAUCAGCUUGCAUUGAUUACGUCCCUGCCCUUUGUACACACCGCCCGUCGCUCCUACCGAUUGAAUGAUCCGAUGAAUACCAUGGAUUGAGAGUACGAAUGGGUUCGCUCAUUUCUGCUGCUCGAGAAGUGGAGUAAAUCUUAUCAUUUAGAGGAAGGAGAAGUCGUAACA